This 952-nucleotide long non-coding RNA is filed under the name Drosophila guanche. Lineage: Eukaryota; Metazoa; Arthropoda; Insecta; Diptera; Drosophilidae. The record is from RNAcentral.
AAAUUGCAUUCAAGGUUGGAAGACUUAAUUGAUGUGAGUGUAGAAAAUAUACAAAAACAAAAAAAAACGUGGUGAAAAUUUUGCAAAACCAUAAAAGGGAACAUAAACCAAAUAAAAACCAAUAUAAAAGUGUUGUGGCUGCAAAGACGAAAACUUAAAAACCAACCCCUGGAUAAGGUACGCCAAGAAAAAAAUGAAAAAGUGACCUUAUUACAUAAUUCCAUGUAUGUACUGUACAUAGGUUAUGAUCCACGUGUGGCAGGAAAUUGCUGACCUGGCCUGACCCUCGGUCUCGGAGGGGGGGUCCGCUCCAGUACCACGAUCAUCCGUCCCUCUUUUGGUGCCACCGGACCUUGCCUGCAGGCGAAAAAACGGAUGGACUUGGCGAUCGGGACCGAGUUGUUUAUAUACAUAUAUCUCACGCGCAACUAUUAAACCAUCUAUUAUAUUAUAUCACCGCGCCUUGUGUAAAGAAACGUUGGUGCUUGCAUAUGUAGGGUGUGGAAAAAUUAGCUCAGCGGUCAUUGCCCUUGCGGCUGACCAUACACCUAUGCGCACUUAAAUAGACCCACCUGACCGUAUGUCACCUAUUCUCUCCUUCUCUCAGGUUAUUAAAAUUGUUCAAUGCCGACAUUCUAAAAGCCACUUAAGGGAAGAAAAGUAAAUCACAAAAAUCUAGAAAAGAAAACUUAAUGAAAAAUUAUGAAUAGAAGAAAAAAAAAUAGAAAAGAAAAUUGUUCAAUAAUAUUAAAUAUUCCUAGACAUUAACUUAGAAAUAGAAGAAGAAAAACAUUAAAUUUAUGCGUAGUUAAUAAUAGAUUCUAAAGGGUGCCUGAUCGGUCUCAUUGUGUCCAUGGAAGGGUAUUGGUAAAAUACCUCUUCAUAACGCUUCUUUGUUAUUUUGCAUAUUUCUACAUUUCUUUAACAGUUAGAACGUGAAAUUGGGCCCAAC